GCCCGGGUGGCGGAAUUGGUAGACGCGUCGGACUCAAAAUCCGAUGGCCUUCGGGUCUUGUGGGUUCGAGUCCCACCCCGGGUA
This 84-nucleotide transfer RNA is filed under the name Rhodothermales bacterium. RNAcentral's name for it is "tRNA-Leu". It matches the Rfam family "tRNA". Rfam says of the family: Transfer RNA (tRNA) molecules are approximately 80 nucleotides in length. The record is from RNAcentral. RNAcentral also lists the same sequence under 2 other names. Lineage: Bacteria; Pseudomonadati; Rhodothermota; Rhodothermia; Rhodothermales.